GAGUUUGAUCCUGGCUCAGGACGAACGCUGGCGGCGCGCCUAACACAUGCAAGUCGAACGAGAGAGAGGGAGCUUGCUUCCUCGAUCGAGUGGCGAACGGGUGAGUAACGCGUGAGGAACCUGCCUCAAAGAGGGGGACAACAGUUGGAAACGACUGCUAAUACCGCAUAAGCCCACGGGUCGGCAUCGACCAGAGGGAAAAGGAGCAAUCCGCUUUGAGAUGGCCUCGCGUCCGAUUAGCUAGUUGGUGAGGUAACGGCCCACCAAGGCAACGAUCGGUAGCCGGACUGAGAGGUUGAACGGCCACAUUGGGACUGAGACACGGCCCAGACUCCUACGGGAGGCAGCAGUGAGGAAUAUUGCACAAUGGGGGAAACCCUGAUGCAGCGACGCCGCGUGGAGGAAGAAGGUCUUCGGAUUGUAAACUCCUGUUGUUGAGGAAGAUAAUGACGGUACCCAACAAGGAAGUGACGGCUAACUACGUGCCAGCCGCCGCGGUAAUAC
RNAcentral lists this ribosomal RNA (504 nucleotides) under uncultured bacterium. RNAcentral's name for it is "bacterial SSU rRNA". It matches the Rfam family "Bacterial small subunit ribosomal RNA", at positions 9 to 526 of the family's 1533-position model. The record is from RNAcentral.